ACACGACUACAUUAGACUACCCUGUAGUCCUAGCCGUAAACGAUACUCGCUAGGUGUCGGCCACGGUGCGACCGUUGUCGGUGCCGUAGGGAAGCCGUGAAGCGAGCCACCUGGGAAGUACGGUCGCAAGACUGAAACUUAAAGGAAUUGGCGGGGAGCACCACAACGCGUGGAGCCUGCGGUUUAAUUGGAUUCAACGCCGGACGUCUCACCAGGGGCGACAGCAGAAUGAUGGCCAGGUUGAUGACCUUGCUUGACAAGCUG
Molecule: ribosomal RNA, 264 nt
Filed under: uncultured archaeon
Lineage: Archaea
Description: partial 16S ribosomal RNA
Rfam family: Archaeal small subunit ribosomal RNA
Source: RNAcentral